UACGUAGGGUGCAAGCGUUAAUCGGAAUUACUGGGCGUAAAGCGUGCGCAGGCGGUUAUGCAAGACAGAUGUGAAAUCCCCGGGCUUAACCUGGGAACUGCAUUUGUGACUGCAUGACUAGAGUACGGUAGAGGGGAAUGGAAUUCCGCGUGUAGCAGUGAAAUGCGUAGAUAUGCGGAGGAACACCGAUGGCGAAGGCAAUUCCCUGGACCUGUACUGACGCUCAUGCACGAAAGCGUGGGGAGCAAACAGG
RNAcentral lists this ribosomal RNA (253 nucleotides) under uncultured bacterium. RNAcentral describes it as "partial 16S ribosomal RNA". It matches the Rfam family "Bacterial small subunit ribosomal RNA", at positions 524 to 776 of the family's 1533-position model. The record is from RNAcentral.